CCCUUAGAUGUUCUGGGCUGCACACGUGCUACACUGGCAGGUUCAGCGAGCUUCAUGCCCUGAUCUGAAAGGAAUGGGAAAUCUUUUCAAAACCUGCCGUGCUUGGGAUAGAUGUUUGCAAUUAUUCAUCUUCAACGAGGAUUGCCUUGUAAGCGCACGUCAUCAGCGUGCAUUGAAUACGACCCUGUAUUCUGUACACACCGCCCGUCGCUCCUACCGAUUGAAGUUUUCGGUGAGUUGACAGGAGGAUUUUUUUGAAACUGGUUCGCCAGUGGAUUUUAGAUCCAAAUGCCAACGAAUCGAUGGCUUUAGAGGAAGGAGUAGUCGUAACA
This 332-nucleotide ribosomal RNA is filed under the name uncultured eukaryote. RNAcentral describes it as "partial 18S ribosomal RNA". It matches the Rfam family "Eukaryotic small subunit ribosomal RNA", at positions 1470 to 1796 of the family's 1831-position model. The record is from RNAcentral.